RNAcentral lists this long non-coding RNA (541 nucleotides) under Brassica napus (rape). Its description in RNAcentral is "long non-coding RNA (BNAP_LNC000869)". The record is from RNAcentral. Lineage: Eukaryota; Viridiplantae; Streptophyta; Magnoliopsida; Brassicales; Brassicaceae.
CGACGAAGAAGAAUCCAGAACCCUGAGAGUCAUUUUGCAGCAGCUCUCGCCAGAACCAGGAUAUGUAUCGUAGUUGAGUUUCUCGACUUUACAAAACUCUACCGCUCCUAGGUUUCGAGGAAGGUACCUUGAUCGGUCGCUGUCAUUUAAUUCUCUACUGUCUAGGAACUCUUUAUGACCCUAAGAAACGACAACCAGAGAAAGCUGUCAUUUAAUUCUCUUGAUCUAAGUAAUUAAUACAUGAAACUACCAGCCAAAAGAAAAGAACAUACCUGCUUGAAGUAAACAACUUCAUCCCCAAGCUGGGGUAUAUAACGGCAGCCUUGCUCGUGUUCUGACAACAUCAACCAUGAGACUUUCCUUGCCACAUUAUUCAACCUUAUCCCGGUAUUAAGACUUUGUUUGCUGGUACUUGCAGACCGGGACCUUGAAGUAGAAGGCCAUUCUUCAAGUGAUGCACCAUCAUACGCGCUUGUGGAAGGAAUUUCUUGUUUCUUUACUUUAUCUAUAGACCUCAAACGUAAUACACUGUUUCUUGCAC